Molecule: ribosomal RNA, 425 nt
Filed under: uncultured bacterium
Lineage: Bacteria
Description: bacterial SSU rRNA
Rfam family: Bacterial small subunit ribosomal RNA
Source: RNAcentral
GUGAGGAAUAUUGGUCAAUGGGCGCGAGCCUGAACCAGCCAAGUCGCGUGAGGGAUGACGGCCCUACGGGUUGUAAACCUCUUUUGUCGGGGAGCAAAUUCCGUUACGUGUAACGGAGUCGAGAGUACCCGAAGAAAAAGCAUCGGCUAACUCCGUGCCAGCAGCCGCGGUAAUACGGAGGAUGCGAGCGUUAUCCGGAUUUAUUGGGUUUAAAGGGUGCGUAGGCGGACUGUCAAGUCAGCGGUAAAAUACGGGGGCUCAACCUCCGCCCGCCGUUGAAACUGACGGUCUUGAGUGGGCGAGAAGUAUGCGGAAUGCGUGGUGUAGCGGUGAAAUGCAUAGAUAUCACGCAGAACUCCGAUUGCGAAGGCAGCAUACCGGCGCCCAACUGACGCUGAAGCACGAAAGCGUGGGUAUCGAACAGG